GGUACAUGGAAGAGGGUAAGCCAAACAUACCACCUGACACAAGCGAUAUGUGCCCAAUACCAGGCAGUUUCUUUUUUCUGUUUUUCCAGGAUUUUCUAAAACUCGAUACGUACCAGCAGACUAACACUUGGUACACUUCUAUAGACCAAUACAAUAUGGUUAAAAUAUUCUACAUGAUCACCCAUAACAAUAUUGUUCACGAGGACUAUUUUGGUACAAUAGUAAAGAGUUCAGAGCAAGAUUCAAGUUUCAGUUCAAACCCCUUCUCAAUCAAUUCCUUGCUAGAUAUGUAUGGGUCUGGUACUUAUUAGUAAACUAACAAAUGGUAAGUUGGCAUACUACUCAGCACAGAUCAAAAGGAGGGAAGAUGAAAGAAAGAGGAGGAGACAGAGAUAGAGAAGCGGGGGAAGAGGAGAAGGUGGAGGCAGAGGGAAAAUACCAGAGACUUAUGAAGAAGCAACGAUGUGAGGCAGCAGGCAGCAGCAAGUGCUACGACAAGAGAGAAUCAGGAGAGAGAAGAGCAUGGGAGAAAUAUAAAUUAAAGAAAAGAUAGUUGUUGUUGUCAAGUCAAAACAAACCCAUAAGCCUGAUUUUGAACUGGACCAGAAAAAGUUGCCUAGUCUGAGUGUCAGAUCUUGGUUAGAUCAAUGAAUAUGAACCAAUCUGAUUGGUUUUCAAAAACAUGAUUUAAGCAAGAUUUUAAAUCUCAGUCUAUAGUAGAGAUUAAUUGGUAGUUGAACUAGUAUGAUACUGUUAUGGGUUGGCUUACUAAUAUACAGUACCCCUGGACCCUGGACCACUGUGAGAGAGAGAGAGAGAGAGAGAGAGAGAGAGAGAGAGAGAGAGAGAGNNNNNNNNNNNNNNNNNNNNGAGAGAGAGAGAGAGGCAGUGAUGGAGAAAGAGGAAAUAGGGGAUGUGUAACUGAAGUAGGAGAUGAUGUGUACCAAAGGAGGCGGUAACAACAAAAUGAGUAGGAGGCGAUAGCAAUGAUGCAAGGAGGCAGCGGCAACAACGUGACGAGGCAACUACCAAGUUGGGGUGACUACUAUAAUUUAGGCAGAGGCGGAGCGAGAGAUGAAAAGCUACAAGAGGGAGAAAGAGAGUUGUCAACAACUAUUUACAGCAUGAAGAGGAGAGGGUCUGUAAAUAUAAGUAAAAAGUUCUGAAAUGUCUUGGUACUGAGUGGUAGACUUACCCUGCGCUAAAACUUAAUACGGCUGACAAUAAUGAUUGUAUAUAACAGUGAGUGUAUAAUUAAUUAUAUGUGCACAAGUCUGAUAAAUUGUCAUCAGGCUCCUUAGUUGCUGUGAUCAGAUAAAUCAAAAGUUUAGGGAAAAGGCAAUCUGUGAAGGAUAAUACCCUCAUCUUAUUCUUGUGUUCCUAUCUUAUCUUGUUAGUUUCCUUAUUUCCAGAACAAAAAGAUUUUUCGUCCUCGGUUCAUAAGUCUCCUCAUAUUCCCUUCAACUAAGAUUCUUCAUUUCUUUUGUAAGAUUGGUCAUAUUUAGCCCUAAUGUAUAACUAAUAUUUUCCUUGAAACUUUGUAGAGGAUUUAAUGAUGACCACCAAAUUUUGUCCACUAUGAGAUAGAAGUUCUGAAGUUGUAAGAAGGAACUGUGCAUAAAGGUUAUAUUUGCAUUAAGACAGUGUUGAAUGGUUAUUCUGAAAGACAACAUGCCAUCCCAAGGAAGUAGGAUAUAUUCAUAUUGGAUAAGAUUGACUUUGUUCAAUGUAAAUGUUACAACAACAACAAAAAAUAAGCAAAGAAUCCUUGUCCCUUGUUUAAGCCCAUUCAUAAAC
Molecule: long non-coding RNA, 1797 nt
Filed under: Musa acuminata (dwarf banana)
Lineage: Eukaryota; Viridiplantae; Streptophyta; Magnoliopsida; Zingiberales; Musaceae
Description: long non-coding RNA (MACU_LNC003718)
Source: RNAcentral